AUGAUCCCUAAGAAGAAAAACUCCACUAGCCCAAAGGAUUUUAGACCCAUCGCCCUAUGCAAUGUAAUCAUAAAAAUCAUAACCAAAAUGAUUUUUAAUAGAAUAAAACCUAUUCUCCCACAUAUUAUUAGUGCCAACCAAAGUGUAUUUGUGCAACAAAGGCUCAUAACUGAUAACACUAUGAUAGCCUUUGAGAUCUUCAACCACAUCCACAACGCGACCAAAAGAAAUAAAGGGCUCGUAGGUAUCAAACUUAAUAUGGAGAAAGCUUAUGACAGAUUGGAAUUGAACUUCAUUGAAAAACUCUUAUCACUAUUGGUUUCCCUAUGA
This is a non-coding RNA of Vicia faba (fava bean), 330 nucleotides long. Lineage: Eukaryota; Viridiplantae; Streptophyta; Magnoliopsida; Fabales; Fabaceae. The record is from the annotation of a GenBank genome assembly.